This 5739-nucleotide long non-coding RNA is filed under the name Theobroma cacao (cacao). Its description in RNAcentral is "long non-coding RNA (TCAC_LNC000495)". The record is from RNAcentral. Lineage: Eukaryota; Viridiplantae; Streptophyta; Magnoliopsida; Malvales; Malvaceae.
UUGGAUAUAAUAAAAAUAUUUAAUAAAAUAUUCUAUUUUCUUAUAAAACAAUAUUUAUAAAGUUACAAGUAAAUAAUUUUUGUAGCGUAAAAGCUAAAUAAAUUCAUACAUACUAUAAUUUAGAUAACCAAAGUAUAACAUUUAAUUUAUAGUGACACGUAGGCGCACGAACGACCAAAAGUAUCAAAAGAGGUAAACCUACAGUUUUUUAGGAUGCAAGUCCGACUGUAGCCCUCAGCGAAAUGAGCUAUCUACCGACUAUCCUGAGCCUGAAAUGGGUGGAAAGAAGGGUGGUGAGAUUAUAUAAUCCCAGUGAGUAAACAGAUACCAUCAAAAAUAUCUAAAACUGAGUAAAUGGAGACAGAUAGAAUAAUUUAACAUACUAUAAUUCAUCACCUUUCAACUUGUUUCAAACAAAUAAAAUCAAUUCAUAUAAAUCGAGUAAUCAACAUGGCUUAUAAAUUUCUUAAAACUUUGGCUCGUGCCAAAACCAUUCUCAUACCUAGUUAUCAGGGAUGCCUUGAUCAAGGGCUAUCCCAACCGAGUCUGCCAAGGUUGUUAAAAAGUUAUAUACACAUAAAUCAUGUUUUUAUUUUGAAAACAUAGCCGUUCCUUGGCGUUGGUCGAGUUCCCCUCACGUGGUGGUUGGGCGUGAAGUGAACUUUAAAGUUUGACCUCGGGAGUUACCCUACGCACCUUUCCAAUCGAGGUAUAUAUAUAUGACCAGGUUCCGUGACCCUUUAAUAGGUUGGUCCACAGAACCAGCCCACUGCAGCAAGCUAAACCCACCAUACAAUAAAAAUUCAACAGCAUGAUAUGACAAUUUUAUCAUUAUCCAGCCUAUCAAGGCAAACAACAGUUUAUGCAUUUCAACACAAAUACCAAUUCAACCAUUCAUGCCAAUAUUGUCAUAAGCCAAUCAAUUAGAACCAUAAAUUCACAAUACAUCAAAUGGUCUCCAAUUACUCUAUUUUCAAAGCCUUCAUUCAAUUUCAAGACCAUUUAUGAAAUCAUUUUAUUUAAACACAUUUUGUUUAUAAAACCUAAAAAUUUACCAUUUAAACUCAUUUUUCAUAAAAUCACAAAAUUGGAUAAAAACCACUCUAGAUAAUUAAGAUGAUAGUAAGGUUACUCACAAUGUCUAGAGUGUGAAUUUUCAAAGUACUCUGACUACUGGUCCUCGGAUGCAAUUUCCUUGCCUUUAUCGGAGGACUCGCCACCUUGACAUAGUACAAAAUUGAGAAACUUACUACAUUGGUACUAAAUCGAAAUUAAACUAAUUUAGACUAUUAAUGCAUGAUAAGGAAUGCAAAAUGCACGGGUAACCAUCUAAACCCGAUAUUGACCUAAUUCAUCUUAUCACACCGAUUAAUUGGCCAAUACGUCCAAUUUAGCUCCAAAUUGCUCCAUUUCUUUUCCAAUACCUUAAUUCACCAAACACAAAUCAAAUAACCUAAAAUUUGGCAAAACCAAAAUUCACUUUUUUUCUUAGCAUUUUUGGUUAAUAAUGGUGCAUUAACACUGUGAUUUUUCCUACUACUUUUCCACACCAUAAUUCAUCAUUUUCUAACCAAUUCUCUUAAAAUAAAAAAUCAAAUUCAUCCUCACUCAAUACAAGGUCGGUUCGGCCAUUGAUGGGUGAUGGGGAAAAUGAAUUCCUUUCUUGUUGUUUUGCUUCUAGACAUUAUAAACUAACUAAAAACACUAACAUAACUUGAAAUCAAAUCAAUCCAAUAUCAUUCUCUCUCCAUACCCAUUCAGCUAGCCAUGAAUUCGCCAUUAAAACAUGAAAUUUAACCAUGGAAAAUAAGGAGAAAUGCUUAAGGAAAAUAGAUUUCAAGUUUAAAUUGCGAAAUCCUACCUUUUUCACUAGUUUUCCUUGAUUUUCCACACUUUUUCUCUUGAAAUUCUCCACCUAGGGUUCAUGUUCUUUCUUUUCUUCCUUUGUUCUUCUUUGGCCCACCAUAUGAAUGAGAAAUAGGCUGAUUUUGUGCGAAUUUAUAAGGAAAAUAAUGAAUGGAUGAGAUUUUUGACACAUGUCACCAUUCCAUUGGUCCAUGUGUCAUACUUAGCCAUUAAGCAAUCUCUCUCCACCACUUAAAUUUUCUCAAUUAUCCAUGAUAAUAUUGGGUAAAAUUCAUGUGCUGGACAAGUUUUGGGUAGUGUAAAAUUAUAAUUUUUCCCUUGGGGCUUCAAAAUGACUAUUUUACCCCUAUGCUCAAAAAAAUGUCGGAAUUAAAAUUCUUCACUUCUCAAACUCAUAUUAUACUCCCAAUGAUCAAUCUUGAUCAAAAGCUUCUUCCAACAUUCAAAUUUUUAACCUCGGAUGGCAAAAUGACUAUUUUACUCCUAGAUCAUGAAAGUUCCAAUUUGACUCCAAAUCAGUCCUCGAACUCCGAAUCACCAUUUUAAGUCAUUCUGGGGUUUUAAAAUUCUCAAUUUCAUCUUAAAAUCUCUAUUUGGACUAGUUCGAGGCUUAAUUCAACUUAAUUGUACCAUUUGGUACAUUGUCGUCCUUUAACAAUUUUUGAGGUACCCAAAUAAGCAAACAUGCAUUCUUAUGUAGGAAUGGCAUAAUAAACAUAUUGUAGAGUCGAGCUUGACAUUAUUAGUCACCAUAUCAAAGUAUGGAGUAUUACAAACUACUUAACAAAUCUUUUAUAAUAUCCGACCAACCUUAGAAAGCUUUGUAUCGCAAUCACUAGGGUAGGCCUUGGCCAUUUCUCUAUAGCCUCAAUCUUUUUCAGGUCCACCAUCACACCUUCCUUAGAUACUAUGUAGGCUAAGAAGCUAACACUAUCAAGCUAAAACUCACAAUUGGAGAACUUGGCAUAUAACUCGUGCUCUCUCAAAGUCUGAAGCACUAUCCUCAAAUGCUAUUCAUGCUCAUCUCUACUCCUCAAGUAUACUAAUCUAUCAUCAAUAAAUACCACCACAAACUUAUCCAAGUAUGGCUUGAACACUCAGUUCAUCAUGUCCAUAAAAGCAGUUGGGGUAUUCGUAAGUUCAAAUGACAUCACCGAGAACUCGUAACGCCCAUACCUAGUAUAGAAGGUAGUCUUAGGCACAUCAUUUUGCCUAAUCCUUAACUGAUGGUAGCUUAACCUCAAGUCAAUCUUAGAAAAACAUUGGGCUCCCUGAAGCUAAUCAAACAAAUCAUCAAUGCAUGGUAAGAGAUACUUAUUCUUCUGAUAAAUUUUUUAUAUAGAGUUAUUUUAAUACAUUUUGGGAGCUUAAAUAGUUAGAUCUUUGAGAUUUUAAGUUUAGAUCGUAGCAAUUUAGGUGUUUUUCUAGUUUAAGUUUGAUUACAUGUUGAGUAGUUAAUUUAAGUUAUUUUAGUUAAAUUUUAUGUUAUUUUGUUUUAAAUUAUUCUAAGAGUAGUUAUUGCUAAUUUCUCUUAUUGCUUUUGUCACGACCCGAAACUCUCCUCGAGCCGGUGACAACCGUCGCGAUAUCCCGAUCGACACUCAUUAUCCAAAAUGUCAAUCGGAACCCCGCAAGGCUUUAAUAUCAGUUUCUCAUUUCCCUUGUGAGUAACCGUUGUCAAAUAUCAUGUUCUAAAAGAUUUUAAACUAAUUAUAACUUAAAACAAUAAAAAAAUAAUUUUCGUCUCACAAGGGUAUUUUAGUCAUUUUCCUCUAAAAAUUUCGAAACCAGCUAAUAAUGUAGUAUACGGGUGCAAAACACAUAUUUUAUAAUCAAAAAUAAAUUUGGAUAUCUAAAACAUUCGUUUAAAAUAAAAUUAUGACUAUUAUAAUAAAAUAAAAAUAUUAAAUAAAAUAUUCAAUUUUCUCAAAAAAUAAUAUUUUUAGAACACUGCAUAAAUAAUUUUUACAACGUAAAAGAAAAAUAUAUCAUAUAUAUCAUAACACAGUAAGCCAGAGUAUUUAAUUUAAUUUAUAGUAACAAGUGGGCCCCUGAAUAACAAAAGUAAGGAAGACUGUGAACCUACAGUUUGGAGGAUGCAAAUCCAAUGGUGGUCCUCGAUGAAAUCAGUUAUCUAUAGACUAUCUUGAGCUUGAAAUGGGUGGAAAGGAGGGUGGUGAGAUUAUAUAAUCUCAGUGAGUAAACAAAUACCAUCUAAAAUAUCUAAAGCCGAGUAAAUGGAGACUGAUAAAAUAGUUUAACAAAUUGUAAUUCAUCACUUUUCAACUUGUUUCAACCAAAUAAAAUCAAUCCUUAUAAAUCGAGUAAUCAACAUGGCUUAUGAAUUUCUUAAAAGUUUUGGCUCAUGUCAAAAUUAUUCUCAUACCCAGUUAUCAAGGAUGCCUUGAUCGAGGGCUAUCCCAACCGAGUCCUCCAAGGUUGUUAAAAAGUUAUGUACGCAUAAAUCAUGUUUUUAUUUUGAAAACAUAGACGUUCCUUGGUGUUGGCUAAGUUCACCCUCACGUGGUGGUUUGGCAUGAAGUGAACUCUAAAGUUAUACCUCGGGAGUUACCCUACUCGCCUUUCCAACAGAGGUAAAAUAUAACCGGAUUUCGUGCCCCUCUAAUAGGCUGGUCCAUAGAACCCGCCCACUGCAGCAAGCUAAACCCACCAUACAAUAAAAUUUUGAUAACAUGACAUGACUAAUAUUAUACUACCCAGCCUGUAAAUGUAAAACAGAACAAUUCAUACAGUUCACAAACCACAAUUCCAGCCAGUCAUGCCAACACAUUAUGAUAAGCCAUAAAUUAGAACCAUAAAUUUACAACACAUCAAGUGGUCUCCAGUUACUCUAUUUUGAAAGCCAUCAUUCAAUUUCAAAACAAUUUUAUGAAAUCAUUUCAUUAAAUCACAUUUGGUUUAUAAAUCCGAAAAAUUAAUCAUUUAAUUCAUUUUCCAUAAAAUUCACAAAAUCAAAUAAAACAUACUUUAGAUAAUUAAGACGAUAGUGAGGUUACUCACUAUUUCGGGAGUCGAAUUCCAAGUACUCCGAUUCUUGAUCCUUGGGUACUAUCUCUUUACUUUUGCCAGAAUGCUCACCACCUAGACAUAAUGCACAAUAAGCCAUUUACUACAUUGUGCUAAAUUAUUAUAAAACCAAUUUAGGCUUUAUACUAAUGUAUGAAAUGGGAUGCAAAUUGUUUGGAUUAUUGUCUAAACACGGUGUUCUACACAAAUUCAAUUGUGUACCUAGAUAAAACGGUAUUGGUGUAAUUUGAUCUAUCACUCGAUUAAUUGGCCAAUACGUCCAAUUCAACUCCAAAUAAUUUCAUUUUUCUCCCAAUACUCCAAAUCAUCAAACACAAAUUAAAUAACUUGAAAUAUGGCAAAAUCAUCCUCACAUUUUCUCUUGGAAAAUUCAGCCAUGGUGGGUGCAUCAACACUAUAAUUUUUCCUACUUGAUUCUCACACCAUAAAUCACUAAUUCUUAACCAAAUCACUUGAAAUAAAAAUCAAAAUCAUCCUCAAUAUUCCACAUGGAGAAUUUGACCAAUGAUGGGUGAUGGAAGAACAUGAAUUUUUCUUGCUUGAUUUUCAUGCUAUACAUCACUAACUAACUAAAAACAAUAAAAUAUCUUAAAAUCUAACCAAAUCAAGCAUCAAAACCUCUCUCUAAAUGUUUAGCCAGCAAGAUACCCAUCAUGAAAUCAUGUGAUUCAACCAUGGAAAAUGCAAAAGAAUGCAUGGAAAAGGUAAAUCACAAGUCAAAAUCAAGAAAUUUUACGUUUGAUUGCUUGAUUACUUGAAAUCCACCAAUUUUCUCUUGAAUUUUCACCCUAGGGUUCUUGUUCUUUCUUUUCUCCCUUUGUUCUU